UGCCACUGUGAGCUGACUCAGGGGCCUGUGGAAGCACCGCUCAGCCAGGGACCAGCAGGUGAAGUAAGGAUGCCUGUCACUCUGUUGAUUGCCUCCUUUCUGUGCAGAGCGUUUGAGAGGAGCCUUCUCCGGGCCUCCCACCCGCCUCCCAUGGCAGCUCAGGUCACCGGUCAUAAGCUCUGAGGCACUUUGUAUUUCUUCACCCAGUAAGUGAUGAUGCAUUUGUUUGUGGUUAUUCCUGAAGCCUCAAACUCCCGAAGGGGAAGGAUAUUGUCAGUCAGUCCUGCUCACCGUGACGUCUCAUCAGUCAGCUCAGAGCCUGGCACUCGGAAAGUUGCGGACUGAAUGAACUGGGACUUGCCCAAGGUUAUCCUCCAUUUAGUACUAGAGCUGGGACCAGGACCCGGUGCCCAACACUCAGGUGAAG
RNAcentral lists this long non-coding RNA (427 nucleotides) under Equus asinus (donkey). RNAcentral describes it as "lncRNA (ENSEASG00005036694.1)". Lineage: Eukaryota; Metazoa; Chordata; Mammalia; Perissodactyla; Equidae. The record is from RNAcentral.